Molecule: small RNA, 3355 nt
Filed under: Drosophila pseudoobscura pseudoobscura
Lineage: Eukaryota; Metazoa; Arthropoda; Insecta; Diptera; Drosophilidae
Description: GA31656
Source: RNAcentral
UGGGAGAGAGAGAGCGAAUAGGAAGAGGAGCAGAAGAUCGAAGAACGAACGCAUUAGCGCCGUUCUCACUCAAAUUUUUUCACCCGGCACAAGCGCCCGUCGGCAAAUCAGCUCCGCGCUUCUAUCCCUGAAAAUGCGGAAAAUGGUGGAAAAUCCAAUGGGAAAUAUGUUGCUGGUGUAUGAAAUAAAGUUUGCUGUAGUGAUUAGAUAUAAAUGUGCAAAAAAUGUGUGUGCAAUGCAAGAAAAUGUGUUAAAUCAAGAGCGGCAGCGCAAGAUGGCAACAAAAAGGCAGCUCGGCAGCGGAAAAGUGCGGCAAAGUGUGAUACAGCUGUAUUUAUUUUAAAUAUAUGCAGAUUAACAUAUUAUUUAUGCCUUUUUUUUCAUGUGAACAAAUCUAAAAUGUGUUUUUUUCCGUUCUGUGCGCGUUUUUGGAAAUUUGGUAGAAAAGACGCGAAGUUAUGUCCCUUUCGCACUCAUCAAGAAAUAUCGCAGUGAAGAAGAGCAUCAAAACGGAAUGUGAGAGCGUUCAAAGUGACGCUCAUUUUGGCGUGAGAGGCAUUCCAAAUACUGGAGAUCUGACGCUCUCCCGCUUCGAGCAUCAGCUUCCACCCUCUAAUGCAAUAGAAUGAAGAGAGUGAAGCAAGUUCUUUCAAUUUCAUCUUUCUUUCGUUAAGGAAAAGAUACCCUAUAAAGUACCCCCUAAAAAACGAAAAGCUGCUAAACAGGGACAUCCAACUUUAAAGUGUAAUCCCUCGGAGCUGUCUGCGAAGCGCCAAAAGUCCUAGGACCCACACAUUUGCAAUGCAUCUCCAAAGGCCACGAAGGGAGGGGUGCUGGGCUGCUUCUAUGUGGCAGAGGGAUAAUCGUAUCGUUCGAUGGUCGUCGUAUAAUAAAUAUCGUAUAGGAGAGGUGUUUGUCGGUGCUCAACCGAUCAGAGAACGAAAAUGGAGUGGAUUCCGAGGAUGAUGAGGAAGGAAGACACCCCUGAGAAUGAAUCUAAUGACAGCGAGAGCGCCAUAUUUCCGAGAGAAAUAUGUACAGAUAGUCCGCCCUUUCUACAUGAAUUCAAAAGAAAUGUCAUCCUUUCAUCAUGGACUAUAUUCGUAGUUCUUCAAGCAUAUUUCUUAAGUAAACCAAGAUCUACCACAAAUGACAGUUUCCAUGGAUUUUCUCAGGUCUUUGGAAUCACUUAAGAUUCUCCAUUAUUCUGGAAUAUUUCUACCGGAUCACCACUAUAUCAUCACCGAAAGGAAGGAUUCCUUGAUACGUUGUCUAGAGAAAUUCAGUGGAUAUGAAAGGCAAUGUGCACAAUUAUUCUCACCUCUGGCUCUCCGAGAAGGAGACGUCCCAUUAAGAAGUCUGCGAAUGAAUAUUCCUUGCCAGAGAACAGCAGCAUCCUUUCGUUUGAAUAAACCAAUUACGAUCUGUGCUCGUUCUCACUGGCAAUCACCUCCUUGCCGCUGUCCUGUCCUGUCCCAUUGCUGAUUGGCAUUCCAUUAUCUGCAUCUUCACGAGAAGCUUCUUCAUUAUUCCAUCAUCAUCAUCAUCAUCGAAAGGAGCUGCAGGAGCUGCACGAGGAGCUACUGCUUCAGUGGCAGUAACAGCUGCCACUGCAGGAUCCUUCAUUAUGUUGAUUCGUGAGGAAGGACGAGAGCGACUAAGAGGACGAGAGCGAGUGCGAGUGCGAGUGCUGCGUAUUUGGUUAAAUUGUUGAAGGUCGCCCGAAGGCAGCAGCACUUUUGUGGGUCUGCCUGCCCGUGGGUCUGCCUGCCAAGUCUCAUGUGCAUAAUUCAAGUUGUUGCACAUGCCACACACACACAUACACACACACACACACAUGUGAGACACUCGAGCGGCACGACGAGCCCUGUCGACUGUCGACUGCUAAGUGUCCUUUGGCAGGCGCAAGAUGAAAGCAAAAGGCGGCUGAAAUUAAAUUAAAAUGAAAUGCAUGCAAAGUGCCACAGCGGCAGCGACAACGACAUGGUCCCGCGUCCCGAGUCCCGUAUCCCGACUCCCAGCUCCCAGCUCCCGAGUCCUCUUUUAGUCCUCGUCAUCGGUGUGUCCUGAGUGUGUACUUUAAGCUUGCAAUUAAAUUGCAGGACGAGCCGCACCGCUGCCACUGCCGCCGCACGGGAAUUGCGCAGGCUCUCCGAUAGCGAGGAGUUGGAGAUCCCUGCCGCCCAGAGGGUGGGGCAGAGGGCAUGUCCAAUGCAUAUGCAUUGCAAUUAAGCAAUCAAUGGCAUAAUUAUCGACACAUGAGAGUCACCCGAUUUAUUAACACGCCUGCCCCGAGGCGCUGCUGCAACAGCAACAGCAACAGAACAGCAAUCGACAAUCGAUUGGCAACUUGUUCAAUUUAAAUGCUCAAACAAACAAAGGAGACCAGACACAGACACCGGAGAGGCGGGGGGCUGGCAGUGUGGGGAGAGUGGUUUUCGGGCAUACAGCCGGAGCCGGAGUGGGGGGUUAACCAAGAAGCCAUUUGCAGACCAGAUCCAGAUCCUGUGCCAAUCAGCAGCCGCAAGCCACACAAAAACUGUCGCGACACCGAAAUGGCGGCCAAAGAAGUGUUUCGUUUUACAGACUGUAAGCGCAUUUUAUGGAACUUUUGUCCUAAUAUGAAGGAAGAGACAUUUGUAAUGGAAAACGAUGCAAGAUCUACAAUGUUCAAAGGAACAUUGGCGGCUGAAACAGGAACUACAGGCACACAGGAACUACAGGAACUACAGGAACUUAAAGACGAAGGACAGGAAUAGUUCGAUGCUUCAGCAAAUAAGAUGUCUAUCAUAUAUUAUUGUGGAAAAAAACACGUCGGUGUUUGAUUUUGAACAGACAGAUAGAAGGAAACAUUUCCGAACCCAUGAGGUACACAGUAGUAGCCGGGCUCCCUCCGGCGGCUGUACCUGUUUGGGUGGUGCCGGAUCGGUACUGCAUCCACGAUCGCAUGCAUCGUGCUUCGCAGGUGCAGACAUUACCGACAUCGUCUUCCCUCCUGCACCUCCUGCUUUACCUUGAAGGCUUUGACCGGCUUAUUGGCCGAGACCCUUUAUGGCAACAACCGCGAUAUCCUCCUCUUACCCCGCCAGCAGAUCGCACCUUCCGGAGGACAUGAAUAGCUCUUGUUUACGAAGGGCCUAAGCCUGACGACAGUCCACUCCAUGCGAGCGGCUGACAUCGGAUUUGCAUAAAAUUACAAUACUGGUUUUUUCUGUAGGCCAUAUCUCUGGUAUCCGGCAGCCGAUCUGGGCGCGGCAUGUCUCUCCGUGCUCGGGAGAGUCCUACCAAUCGACUGUCACCCUAAAAAGGGACAUCAAUUUUCUCACUAUUUUCGUAAAAAAUCAUGAUGGUUACA